This 301-nucleotide ribosomal RNA is filed under the name uncultured bacterium. RNAcentral's name for it is "partial 16S ribosomal RNA". It matches the Rfam family "Bacterial small subunit ribosomal RNA", at positions 509 to 807 of the family's 1533-position model. The record is from RNAcentral.
CAGUAGCCACGGGAACACGUAGGGGGCAAGCGCUGUCCGGAAUCAUUGGGCGUAAAGCGCGUGUAGGCGGCUCGAUAAGUCUGCCGUGAAAGUUCAGGGCUCAACCCUGAAAUGCCGGUGGAAACUGUCGAGCUUGAGUCCGGAAGAGGCAAGUGGAAUUCCUGGUGUAGCGGUGAAAUGCGCAGAUAUCAGGAGGAACACCAAUGGCGAAGGCAGCUUGCUGGGACGGUACUGACGCUGAGACGCGAAAGCGUGGGGAGCAAACAGGAUUAGAUACCCCUGUAGUCCCUGUCUCUUAUAC